GGAAGGGUCGCUCAGCGGAAGAGCACCGCGGUGUCACCGCGGCGGCACUAUGCCUCGUGGCGUUCGAAUCCCACCCCUUCCG
RNAcentral lists this transfer RNA (82 nucleotides) under Natronorubrum aibiense. Its description in RNAcentral is "tRNA-Asp". It matches the Rfam family "tRNA". From Rfam's summary of the family: Transfer RNA (tRNA) molecules are approximately 80 nucleotides in length. Their secondary structure includes four short double-helical elements and three loops (D, anti-codon, and T loops). Lineage: Archaea; Methanobacteriati; Methanobacteriota; Halobacteria; Halobacteriales; Natrialbaceae. The record is from RNAcentral.